This 1546-nucleotide ribosomal RNA is filed under the name Salmonella enterica subsp. enterica serovar Manhattan. Its description in RNAcentral is "bacterial LSU rRNA". It matches the Rfam family "Bacterial large subunit ribosomal RNA", at positions 1401 to 2925 of the family's 2925-position model. Lineage: Bacteria; Pseudomonadati; Pseudomonadota; Gammaproteobacteria; Enterobacterales; Enterobacteriaceae. The record is from RNAcentral.
GCCGAAAGGCGUAGUCGAUGGGAAACGGGUUAAUAUUCCCGUACUUGGUGUUACUGCGAAGGGGGGACGGAGAAGGCUAUGUUGGCCGGGCGACGGUUGUCCCGGUUUAAGCGUGUAGGUGUGUGUUCCAGGUAAAUCCGGUUCACUUUAACACUGAGGCGUGACGACGAGGCACUACGGUGCUGAAGCAACAAAUGCCCUGCUUCCAGGAAAAGCCUCUAAGCAUCAGGUAACAUCAAAUCGUACCCCAAACCGACACAGGUGGUCAGGUAGAGAAUACCAAGGCGCUUGAGAGAACUCGGGUGAAGGAACUAGGCAAAAUGGUGCCGUAACUUCGGGAGAAGGCACGCUGACACGUAGGUGAAGUGAUUUACUCAUGGAGCUGAAGUCAGUCGAAGAUACCAGCUGGCUGCAACUGUUUAUUAAAAACACAGCACUGUGCAAACACGAAAGUGGACGUAUACGGUGUGACGCCUGCCCGGUGCCGGAAGGUUAAUUGAUGGGGUCAGCGCAAGCGAAGCUCCUGAUCGAAGCCCCGGUAAACGGCGGCCGUAACUAUAACGGUCCUAAGGUAGCGAAAUUCCUUGUCGGGUAAGUUCCGACCUGCACGAAUGGCGUAAUGAUGGCCAGGCUGUCUCCACCCGAGACUCAGUGAAAUUGAACUCGCUGUGAAGAUGCAGUGUACCCGCGGCAAGACGGAAAGACCCCGUGAACCUUUACUAUAGCUUGACACUGAACAUUGAGCCUUGAUGUGUAGGAUAGGUGGGAGGCUUUGAAGUGUGGACGCCAGUCUGCAUGGAGCCGACCUUGAAAUACCACCCUUUAAUGUUUGAUGUUCUAACGUGGACCCGUUACCCGGGUUGCGGACAGUGUCUGGUGGGUAGUUUGACUGGGGCGGUCUCCUCCUAAAGAGUAACGGAGGAGCACGAAGGUUGGCUAAUCCUGGUCGGACAUCAGGAGGUUAGUGCAAUGGCAUAAGCCAGCUUGACUGCGAGCGUGACGGCGCGAGCAGGUGCGAAAGCAGGUCAUAGUGAUCCGGUGGUUCUGAAUGGAAGGGCCAUCGCUCAACGGAUAAAAGGUACUCCGGGGAUAACAGGCUGAUACCGCCCAAGAGUUCAUAUCGACGGCGGUGUUUGGCACCUCGAUGUCGGCUCAUCACAUCCUGGGGCUGAAGUAGGUCCCAAGGGUAUGGCUGUUCGCCAUUUAAAGUGGUACGCGAGCUGGGUUUAGAACGUCGUGAGACAGUUCGGUCCCUAUCUGCCGUGGGCGAUGGAGAACUGAGGGGGGCUGCUCCUAGUACGAGAGGACCGGAGUGGACGCAUCACUGGUGUUCGGGUUGUCAUGCCAAUGGCACUGCCCGGUAGCUAAAUGCGGAAGAGAUAAGUGCUGAAAGCAUCUAAGCACGAAACUUGCCCCGAGAUGAGUUCUCCCUGAGACUUUAGGUCUCCUGAAGGAACGUUGAAGACGACGACGUUGAUAGGCCGGGUGUGUAAGCGCAGCGAUGCGUUGAGCUAACCGGUACUAAUGAACCGUGAGGCUUAACCUU